This 466-nucleotide ribosomal RNA is filed under the name uncultured bacterium. RNAcentral describes it as "partial 16S ribosomal RNA". It matches the Rfam family "Bacterial small subunit ribosomal RNA", at positions 28 to 507 of the family's 1533-position model. The record is from RNAcentral.
GAUGAACGCUGGCGGCGUGCUUAACACAUGCAAGUCGAACGGAAAGGCUCCUGCUUGCAGGGGUACUCGAGUGGCGAACGGGUGAGUAACACGUGGGUGAUCUGCCCUUCACUUCGGGAUAAGCCUGGGAAACUGGGUCUAAUACCGGAUAGGACGUUGUUUUGGAUGCCAUUGUGGAGAGUUUUUUCGGUGUGGGAUGAGCUCGCGGCCUAUCAGCUUGUCGGUGGGGUAAUGGCAUACCAAGGCGUCGCCGGGUAGCCGGCCUGAGAGGGUGUACGGCCACAUUGGGACUGAGAUACGGCCCAGACUCCUACGGGAGGCAGCAGUGGGGAAUAUUGCACAAUGGGCGCAAGCCUGAUGCAGCGACGCCGCGUGGGGGAUGACGGCCUUCGGGUUGUAAACUACUUUCGCUAGGGACGAAGCGCAAGUGACGGUACCUGGAGAAGAAGCACCGGCUAACUACGUG